Molecule: non-coding RNA, 94 nt
Organism: Pelobates cultripes (western spadefoot toad)
Lineage: Eukaryota; Metazoa; Chordata; Amphibia; Anura; Pelobatidae
Source: the annotation of a GenBank genome assembly
UUUUCAAUUGUGGUUGAAUAAUUUUGAUUUCAACUGUGUGUAUGUACACACACACAAACACACACAGUUGUAAUCAAAAUUAUUCAACCCUAUU